RNAcentral lists this microRNA precursor (181 nucleotides) under Oryza brachyantha (malo sina). RNAcentral's name for it is "MIR812 microRNA precursor family". It matches the Rfam family "MIR812 microRNA precursor family". Lineage: Eukaryota; Viridiplantae; Streptophyta; Magnoliopsida; Poales; Poaceae. The record is from Rfam by way of RNAcentral.
AAUAAAUGAAUUUAUGAGUUUUUGAUAGAAUUUUUGACUCUUCGUCUUAUUUGAAUUUUUUGAUCAUUUUUUUAUUAGAUGAUAAAACAUAAAUAGUACUUUACAUAUGACUAUUUUUUAAUUUUUUAAUAAAAUUUUUAAAUAAGACCGAUGGUCAAACGCUUCAUACAUAAAACUCAAA